CAGCAGUAGCCGCGGUAAUACGAAGGGGGCUAGCGUUGUUCGGAAUUACUGGGCGUAAAGCGCACGUAGGCGGACAUUUAAGUCAGGGGUGAAAUCCCGGGGCUCAACCCCGGAACUGCCUUUGAUACUGGGUGUCUAGAGUAUGGAAGAGGUGAGUGGAAUUCCGAGUGUAGAGGUGAAAUUCGUAGAUAUUCGGAGGAACACCAGUGGCGAAGGCGGCUCACUGGUCCAUUACUGACGCUGAGGUGCGAAAGCGUGGGGAGCAAACAGGAUUAGAUACCCCAGUAGUCCCUGUCUCUUAUAC
This 304-nucleotide ribosomal RNA is filed under the name uncultured bacterium. RNAcentral's name for it is "partial 16S ribosomal RNA". It matches the Rfam family "Bacterial small subunit ribosomal RNA", at positions 506 to 807 of the family's 1533-position model. The record is from RNAcentral.